Long non-coding RNA from Panicum virgatum (switchgrass), 2186 nucleotides. RefSeq lists it as uncharacterized. NCBI's taxonomy places the organism in Eukaryota, Viridiplantae, Streptophyta, Magnoliopsida, Poales, Poaceae. The record is from RefSeq and is a predicted model, not a curated record. The transcript is spliced from 3 exons.
UCCGUCCCCUCACACCCGCGGCCUUGUUCGUUCGUCCCUCCCCUCGCUAACCGCUCCGGCAUCGCCCUCCCCCUCUCCUCUCCCCCACCCUCGCCGUCGCCGCUCCGCCCUCCCCACAUUUGUGAGCAGUUCCGCCUCGCAGCUGCCGUCACCCUCCCUCCCCAACGCCUCAGCGCGCUCCCCGACGACAUCCUCAUCCUCCUCCGCCUCGACACCACCGCCGCCAACGGGACCAGCGUCCUCUCCUGCCGCUGGCGCUGCGUCUGGGUCCUCCUCCCAGAGCUCUGCAUCCCCGUCGACCGGUCGCCCCCGAGCCGAUGCCCACGAGGUGCCCCUCCGGGACCUCCUCGUCAUGGUCGAGGGCGCCGAAUCCCUGGCGAUCUAGCUCCGCGCCGCCGCGCGCCGCAUCUCCGGCGACCUAGCCCUUCUCAACUUUGAUCCGGAGAAAAAUACCGAGCCGUUGAGUUCCCCUGCUCGAGAAGGUCACCUCGAUCUCGCGCAAGGAGGAGCCGUUGAGUUCCCCCGCUUCGAGAAGGCCACCCGAGCUGUGGGCGGAUCGACGUCGACUCAAGCCCCUCUGCCGAAACGCUGACGGAUCCGCGACUCCUGACGGCCCCCACGCCGCAUCCCCCACUAUCCGGUCCACACUCGUCCCCAAAAUCCCCCCUCCACCGCGCAGCAAAAUACCUCCAUCGUCGAGCUCGGAGCGGCGGCGAUCUCGUGUCCUCCUCGUGCUACAGUGUCGCUCGGUCGCUAUGGCCGGUAGGGCCAACGUGAAGGUGCGGCGGAGCAGCAAUGUAGCGGGGGAGACCUUGCUGCGUCGAUGGUCAGAAGGAUGACCUCAGGCGUUAGUCGCUCGACGGGCGGCCGGAUGGGACGGCGCUCAGCAGCUCCCUCUCUCCUCCGUGUUUCCAUGGAUACACCUCCAUUGCUGGGCACUCGCCUUGAAGUUUGCCAUGUGUGAUGUGGCUAGAGCCAGUUGCCCUAGGAGGUUAGGAUGAUCCCUCCAUUGGCAGUGCUGAUGCCAACAGGGUUUCAGCCCAAAGGUACCCAGAGGAGGCUAAGACUUGCUGAGUUCGUACAGAUUAGAUCAUCUUUACAUGCCUUCAACAUAAACGUUUAAUGUAAAAUACUUGCACAACAUUUUAGAAAAUUGAACUAUAAGCUGCUAUAGAUGCUAGGCAUACUAGACUGAUUUGGCUCGUGGAUAUGUGAUGCAUUUUGCAGCAAAAUGCUACCAUGGUAGCAGUGAAAGAGAAUUACAGAAGGUAUGCUAAAACAAUUUCUCUCUUAAGUUGGAAAUGUGGGAGUAAAUGAAUAUGGUUUUCAUGCUUUGUCUUAGAGAAUGCGACCCUAGCUAUAGCCGGACAUCUAUAGCUAAUAUAUUAUUUGUCAAUUAUGAAUCCUCUGUAAAUGAGUAUGAUUCAAAUUUAUUUUGGUGUGAAACAUUAAAUAUUAAUCACUGGACCUACGAAAAUGGUCUCUGCACAUGUUGCAUCAGCUCCUUAUGUCCCUAUCUACAAACAAUAGUGGAGCUCCAAGGCAUGCUGUAGAAUGCAUCUGAGUAGUGCUACUACUUUAUUUUGUUCUGUGUUGUAGACUUGUCGGGUGUGAUCCCUAUAUACGAUCUGCAAUUCUGCAUUGAUAUGUUAUUUAUUUCUUGCCCAUUCCAACGAUGUGAUUGUGGGGCUCUUAGAAUGGAAAGGUUUGUGUAGUAGUCGAGUAGAGCUUGCUUACGAGUUGGAUGGUAAGAAAGUUAUAAUGCGAGGAAUUGCACUUUGAUUUGGCUAUGCUAAACUGAAAUUAGGAGUGCUGGUGUGAGAAAUGAAGAGUACCUCCUAGGAUUAAAAGCUACUAAUACUGCUGCUUGUUUUAAAGGGAUAAUGGGAUCAACGCUUGCAGCUGGGGAAGAAGUUAAAAGAUUACUGUAAUGAGUCAUGGCUACAGUAAGUAAGCCUGAAUGCCGUAUUGUCUUUGGCCUUGAUGAUGCCUGAUGUAUGCCAUCAAGGAAGCACUUCAUUGGUUCUGAAGCGAAGCUUUUUAUCUUUUUCUGUCCUUCUCUGUUCAUUUUCCAGUAUCUAAUGAUAGUUCUUUUCUUUUCUGCUUGUUUUCUGAAAUUAAUGGUAUGGAUUGAUUUCCCAGUAUAUAUAUAGACACACACACAUUGAUGCUUAUUAUGGUACAAA